GGGUUGUGAGGUUAAGCGACUAAGCGUACACGGUGGAUGCCCUGGCAGUCAGAGGCGAUGAAGGACGUGCUAAUCUGCGAUAAGCGUCGGUAAGGUGAUAUGAACCGUUAUAACCGGCGAUUUCCGAAUGGGGAAACCCAGUGUGAUUCGUCACACUAUCAUUAACUGAAUCCAUAGGUUAAUGAGGCGAACCGGGGGAACUGAAACAUCUAAGUACCCCGAGGAAAAGAAAUCAACCGAGAUUCCCCCAGUAGCGGCGAGCGAACGGGGAGCAGCCCAGAGCCUGAAUCAGUGUGUGUGUUAGUGGAAGCGUCUGGAAAGGCGCGCGAUACAGGGUGACAGCCCCGUACACAAAAAUGCACAUGCUGUGAGCUCGAUGAGUAGGGCGGGACACGUGGUAUCCUGUCUGAAUAUGGGGGGACCAUCCUCCAAGGCUAAAUACUCCUGACUGACCGAUAGUGAACCAGUACCGUGAGGGAAAGGCGAAAAGAACCCCGGCGAGGGGAGUGAAAAAGAACCUGAAACCGUGUACGUACAAGCAGUGGGAGCACAGAGCAAUCUGUGUGACUGCGUACCUUUUGUAUAAUGGGUCAGCGACUUAUAUUCUGUAGCAAGGUUAACCGAAUAGGGGAGCCGAAGGGAAACCGAGUCUUAACUGGGCGUUAAGUUGCAGGGUAUAGACCCGAAA
RNAcentral lists this ribosomal RNA (688 nucleotides) under Escherichia coli. RNAcentral describes it as "partial 23S ribosomal RNA". It matches the Rfam family "Bacterial large subunit ribosomal RNA", at positions 1 to 720 of the family's 2925-position model. The record is from RNAcentral. Lineage: Bacteria; Pseudomonadati; Pseudomonadota; Gammaproteobacteria; Enterobacterales; Enterobacteriaceae.